UCUGAUGUCGUAGCUGCAGUGCUUCAGCAGACUUCAGACUUCCCGGCGGGAAUGGAAGCCUUCCAUCAGUCUGGAAGGGAAGGGAGAGGUUCCUGAUAGCCCGCCAAGUUCCUGGAAUCUUGAAUAAUGAUGUCGGCGCUUCUACUUGCGGUAUUUUAGGGAACCUCAUCACCUGUUCAACCAUAUUGCGGCACACAGUCAUCGUGGCUCGAGGGAAAGAAGUGGGGUCUCUGAUGUGUCAUCUUGCUUCAAGCCUGACUGACAGUUAAUGAUGUUUGGCAAACCCAGUGGCGAUCAACAGGAAGAACGUCUCGCAGACUAACACUGUGUCUGGGCCGCUCGCUUUCAACUUCAAAAAAAAAAAUGCUUUACAGCCAGAGGAAUGAGCAGGGCUGGAACCGACAACCAUCUGCUUCACAAUCGAGCCUGAUACCAGGCUACGGAGUCUCCCUACCAACGGACAGCCAUUAAUGGCUAAGUAUGUUUGAAAGGGUUUCAUUGGGCCGAAGAGAUUAUUAUAUGACCUGCUGCAGAAAUUUCUAGCACGAAGUACGCAAGAUGGAAGCACACAAAAAAAAAAAAAAAAAAGACCGACUGUAGCAAGCGCGAGUCGCGAAUCGACGACCGGACCCGACUACAUUUUUCCAUUGACAUCUUAGCACUGACCUGUUGUACGCAUGUGUCGCCAUUGCAAUGAGGUUGUCAACAAUCAAACUUCUUAGUCAUUCAGACAAAAGAACUAAUACCUAAACACUAAUAAGCUAAACACCAGU
Pomacea canaliculata is the source of this 773-nucleotide long non-coding RNA. RefSeq lists it as uncharacterized. The transcript is spliced from 3 exons. NCBI's taxonomy places the organism in Eukaryota, Metazoa, Mollusca, Gastropoda, Architaenioglossa, Ampullariidae. The record is from RefSeq and is a predicted model, not a curated record.